RNAcentral lists this transfer RNA (75 nucleotides) under Acropora cervicornis. RNAcentral's name for it is "tRNA-Ala". It matches the Rfam family "tRNA". Rfam says of the family: Transfer RNA (tRNA) molecules are approximately 80 nucleotides in length. Lineage: Eukaryota; Metazoa; Cnidaria; Anthozoa; Scleractinia; Acroporidae. The record is from RNAcentral.
GGCCUGAUAGCUCAAACCCGGUGGAGCACUGUACUGGCAUCGCAGAAGUCGGGGUUCGAAUUCCCGUUUAGGCCU